UGGACGAGGCUAUUCUUGAAGAUUAAGCCAUGCACGUGCUAAGUACAAACGAUUAUUUCGUGAGACUGCGGACGGCUCAGUAUAUCAGUGAUUAUCUAUUUGAUUGUCUACCCCAUUGGAUAACCGUGGGAAAUCUAGAGCUAAUACAUGCAAGAUCUUGGCGUGGAUUUCGGUUCAUGUCAAAGCAUUUAUUAGACUAAACCAACUACUGUGUGCUUGCAUAUAGUAAGGCGAAUCUAGAUAACUUUGCUGAUCGUAUGGCCUAGCGCCGACGACGUUUCAAUUGAGUUUCUGCCCUAUCAACUUGUUGGUAAGGUAUUGGCUUACCAAGGUUGCAACGGGUAACGGGGAAUCAGGGUUCGAUUCCGGAGAGGGAGCCUGAGAAACGGCUACCACAUCCAAGGAAGGCAGCAGGCACGGAAAUUACCCAAUCUAGACAGUAGGAGGUGGUGAAGAGAAUUACUAAGUGGUGAUCUAAUAGAUUACCAGCUUGGAAUGAACGUAAUUUAAGCAAUUCGAUGAGUAACUACUGGAGGGCAAGUCCUGGUGCCAGCAGCCGCGGUAAUUCCAGCUCCAGUGGCCUCCUCUAAAGUUGUUGCGUUUAAAACGCUCGUAGUUGGAUCACGCAGUGGUAUUCAGUUAUCUAUAUAGCAACGCCAGUGAUUUCUCUUGUUUUCUAAACAUGUAGAGUUGCUGUGUGUGCAUGUUGAUAAUUAAGCUGAAUGCCACUAUUUGCACGCGAGUGUGGUGGUUGACCUUUAUUGCGUUGAGCAUCACGACUUGCGGGGUGUGCCUUGAAUAAAACAGAGUGCUUAAAGCAGGCUUUGCUUGAAUGUUGUAGCAUGGAACGAACAAACGUGUAUAUGUACGUGUUAUGCAGCGUGGGUGAGUUUAUGAUUCGCCUAUGCUGUUGAUGCGCACAGCACCUACCAAAAUAUGGAUGUUGGUUCCGUAUACGGUGAUGAUUAAAAGGAGCGGUUGGGGGCAUUGGUAUUUGACCGCGAGAGGUGAAAUUCUUAGACCGGUCAAGGACCAACAAAUGCGAAGGCAUUUGUCUAGACCGUUUCCAUUAAUCAAGAACGAAAGUGGGAGGUUCGAAGACGAUCAGAUACCGUCCUAGUUCCCACUGUGAACUAUGCCGACCUGGGAUCAGUUUGGAGAUAUACAAGCUCUAGGUUGGUCCCUCUGGGAAACCUCAAGUUUUUCGGUUACGGGGAGAGUAUGGUCGCAAGGCUGAAACUUAAAGGAAUUGACGGAAGGGCACCACCAGGGGUGGAGCCUGCGGCUUAAUUUGACUCAACACGGGGAAGCUUACCUGGUCCGGACAUCGAUAGGAUAAACAGACUGAUAGAUCUUUUUUGAUGCGGUGAGUGGUGGUGCAUGGCCGUUCUUAGUUCGUGGAGUGAUCUGUCAGGUUAAUUCCGGUAACGAACGAGACCACAUUCUCCAUUUAAGAAACGGGAGCAGAGAGUUGUGUAUUGAAUAUUUCGGUAUUGAAUAUGUGACGCUCGUAGGAACUUGCGACUCGUUUUUUGGGUAUGACUUUGGGGCAACCUGAUUUGGUAUCUGCGGAUCGAGUUGUUUGUCCCUUCCGUCAAACAGUAGGCAGUGCGAACUGUCUGCUGUCUUAUGGAGAGACAACGAGGUAUAUCAAAGCUUGAGGAAGAGUGGCUAUAACAGGUCAGUGAUGCCCUUCGAUGUUCAGGGCUGUACGCGCGCUACAAUGAUAACAACAGCAAGUGUCUAGGUCGAAAGACUUGGGUAAUCUCGAAUUGUUAUCGUGAUGGGGAUUGACCGUUGUAAUUUUCGGUCAUGAAAGAGGAAUCCCUCGUAUAUGCAUUUUAAUACAAUGUAUAGAAUGAGUCCCUGCCCUUUGUACACACCGCCCGUCGCUACUACCGAGUGAGUGGUGUCAUGAUGCCUUGUGACUGGACGUUGAUGGGGUUUUCGGACUCUGUCAAACGCUAGAAUCAGCGUAAAAUGGCGCAAUUUCGAGGAAGUAAAAGUCGUAACAAGGCUU
This 2020-nucleotide ribosomal RNA is filed under the name Myxobolus sp. 3 BWX-2019. RNAcentral's name for it is "SSU rRNA". It matches the Rfam family "Eukaryotic small subunit ribosomal RNA". Lineage: Eukaryota; Metazoa; Cnidaria; Myxozoa; Bivalvulida; Myxobolidae. The record is from RNAcentral.